GGGGAAUUAGCUCAAAUGGUAGAGCGCUUGCUUAGCAUGCAUAGAGGUAGUGGGAUCGAUGCCCACAUUCUCCA
This 74-nucleotide transfer RNA is filed under the name Perca flavescens (yellow perch). It matches the Rfam family "tRNA". Rfam says of the family: Transfer RNA (tRNA) molecules are approximately 80 nucleotides in length. Their secondary structure includes four short double-helical elements and three loops (D, anti-codon, and T loops). Lineage: Eukaryota; Metazoa; Chordata; Actinopteri; Perciformes; Percidae. The record is from Rfam by way of RNAcentral.